This 77-nucleotide transfer RNA is filed under the name Bacillota bacterium. Its description in RNAcentral is "tRNA-Arg". It matches the Rfam family "tRNA". Rfam says of the family: Transfer RNA (tRNA) molecules are approximately 80 nucleotides in length. The record is from RNAcentral. Lineage: Bacteria; Bacillati; Bacillota. RNAcentral also lists the same sequence under 2 other names.
GCGCUGUUAGCUCAAUUGGAUAGAGCGUCGGUCUACGGAACCGAAGGUUGGGGAUUCGAACUCCUCACGGCGCGCCA